UUAGAUGACCAUCAGCGAACA
Molecule: microRNA, 21 nt
Filed under: Eugenia uniflora (Surinam cherry)
Lineage: Eukaryota; Viridiplantae; Streptophyta; Magnoliopsida; Myrtales; Myrtaceae
Description: eun-miR827-3p
Gene: eun-miR827-3p
Source: miRBase by way of RNAcentral